ACUGCAAGUCGAACGGUGAAGCCAAGCUUGCUUGGUGGAUCAGUGGCGAACGGGUGAGUAACACGUGAGCAACCUGCCCUGGACUCUGGGAUAAGCGCUGGAAACGGCGUCUAAUACUGGAUAUGAGCUCUCAUCGCAUGGUGGGGGUUGGAAAGAUUUUUCGGUCUGGGAUGGGCUCGCGGCCUAUCAGCUUGUUGGUGAGGUAAUGGCUCACCAAGGCGUCGACGGGUAGCCGGCCUGAGAGGGUGACCGGCCACACUGGGACUGAGACACGGCCCAGACUCCUACGGGAGGCAGCAGUGGGGAAUAUUGCACAAUGGGCGGAAGCCUGAUGCAGCAACGCCGCGUGAGGGAUGACGGCCUUCGGGUUGUAAACCUCUUUUAGCAGGGAAGAAGCGAGAGUGACGGUACCUGCAGAAAAAGCGCCGGCUAACUACGUGCCAGCAGCCGCGGUAAUACGUAGGGCGCAAGCGUUAUCCGGAAUUAUUGGGCGUAAAGAGCUCGUAGGCGGUUUGUCGCGUCUGCUGUGAAAUCCCGAGGCUCAACCUCGGGCCUGCAGUGGGUACGGGCAGACUAGAGUGCGGUAGGGGAGAUUGGAAUUCCUGGUGUAGCGGUGGAAUGCGCAGAUAUCAGGAGGAACACCGAUGGCGAAGGCAGAUCUCUGGGCCGUAACUGACGCUGAGGAGCGAAAGGGUGGGGAGCAAACAGGCUUAGAUACCCUGGUAGUCCACCCCGUAAACGUUGGGAACUAGUUGUGGGGACCAUUCCACGGUUUCCGUGACGCAGCUAACGCAUUAAGUUCCCCGCCUGGGGAGUACGGCCGCAAGGCUAAAACUCAAAGGAAUUGACGGGGACCCGCACAAGCGGCGGAGCAUGCGGAUUAAUUCGAUGCAACGCGAAGAACCUUACCAAGGCUUGACAUAUACGAGAACGGGCCAGAAAUGGUCAACUCUUUGGACACUCGUAAACAGGUGGUGCAUGGUUGUCGUCAGCUCGUGUCGUGAGAUGUUGGGUUAAGUCCCGCAACGAGCGCAACCCUCGUUCUAUGUUGCCAGCACGUAAUGGUGGGAACUCAUGGGAUACUGCCGGGGUCAACUCGGAGGAAGGUGGGGAUGACGUCAAAUCAUCAUGCCCCUUAUGUCUUGGGCUUCACGCAUGCUACAAUGGCCGGUACAAAGGGCUGCAAUACCGUGAGGUGGAGCGAAUCCCAAAAAGCCGGUCCCAGUUCGGAUUGAGGUCUGCAACUCGACCUCAUGAAGUCGGAGUCGCUAGUAAUCGCAGAUCAGCAA
Molecule: ribosomal RNA, 1289 nt
Filed under: Microbacterium sp.
Lineage: Bacteria; Bacillati; Actinomycetota; Actinomycetes; Micrococcales; Microbacteriaceae
Description: bacterial SSU rRNA
Rfam family: Bacterial small subunit ribosomal RNA
Source: RNAcentral